This 1472-nucleotide long non-coding RNA is filed under the name Sus scrofa (pig). Its description in RNAcentral is "lncRNA (ENSSSCG00060009396.1)". Lineage: Eukaryota; Metazoa; Chordata; Mammalia; Artiodactyla; Suidae. The record is from RNAcentral.
AAGGAACAUUCCCGGGAAAAUCUAGAGUAAGAGAAUUGCUGGCAGAAAGAAUAACUGCUGGGGUCCAGGCAUGGCAGAGCUUGAAUAUUUAUAAAAUAAGCCAAAUUAUGAACAACUUAAUGGAAUUAUUUUACUAUUAACAACUAAUGGUUAUGCCUGUAUUUCUAAUUAGCUUGCUUUUUAUCUCUCACUGUCUGUCAUUAAAUCUACCUGUUCACUCAAACCAAGACCGAGUCUCAUCUAUAAAGUCUUCACAGCCAUGUCUUCCAUGGCAGGCUGUCUCCCAAGUUCUCAGAGUGCAUCUAACAGCCCAUUGUGUACAAUGUAAACAGUUUCUGUGGUAUUGGUAUCUGAUACUUGUACUAUUUAGCAUUUCAAAAGAAUUUUGUAUAUCUUGUUUUUUAAGUGCAAAAUUAUGGUCAUUAAACAUAUCCACAUUAUUUUGAUACUAUUGGCAUAAUUUUGGUGGUGUUUAUUGUUAUUGGUGAAUAUUCUUGGUGUUUUACUAUUUCUUUUUUUUUUUUUGGCUGUGCCUAUGGCAUGCAGAAGAUCCUGGGCAAGGGAUCAAACAUGUGCCACAGCAGUGACACCACCAAAUCCUUAACUAUUAGACUACCAUGAAAAUCCUAUUUAGCAUUUUAAAUAAUGUGGAUAUCUUUGCUUUAUUAUUAGAUUAUAAAUUCUUUAAUAAAAAUAAUUCUUUAAAAGGUUUCAAACAUUCAAUGGCUGAAUAUUAGAGUUUAAUGGAACAUAAAAGCCAUCUUUGUGAACCUCGUUCUCCGGAACAGAAAAAGCUGAAAAUUAAAUACGGCAUACGGGGUUGUAUAAAAUUUAAGAAGACAUGCAGUGAUUGAGAGUAGAGUUCAUAUUUGAGUUUGAAGCUUUUUAGCAAUACAAUAAUGGAUCAUAUAGUAUUCUGCUAAUUCAGUCAGCAACUGUGGUCAGAAAAUGCCAAAAUAAAAUGAUACCUUAAGCUGUCCUACAAAAAUAGUCCAUAUCAGCAUGAUUACCAGUUAUGGUGACUACAUGGGGAAAAAGAGAGGCUGAUGCUCAGAUCCCAAGACUGUCCGUGAAUCCCUGACCCACAUCUUGCAGCAUCUUCAGCUACUUCUAAAAUGACCCUUAGGACAUAUGCGCACAGAGCAGUUCAGACAAUGUCUCUUAAUUUCUGACCAAGUUUUGAUACCACCUCCAGUGUGGUUUCCAGGUAAACUUUACCGGACCACCUUUCCCGUCGUGGCUCAGCGGUUAACGAAUCCGAUGGGGAACCAUGGGGUUGCGGGUUGGAUCCCUGGCCUUGCUCAGUGGGUUAAGGAUCCAGUGUUGCCGUGGGCUGUGGUGUAGGUUGCAGACGCAGCUCGGAUUCUGCGUUGCUGUGGCGUAGGCCGGUGGCUACAGCUCCGAUUAGACCCCUAGCCUGGGAACCUCCAUAUGCCGUGGGAUUGGUCCUAGAAAAGGCAAAAAGACAAAAG